Molecule: ribosomal RNA, 347 nt
Filed under: Stenochrus alcalai
Lineage: Eukaryota; Metazoa; Arthropoda; Arachnida; Schizomida; Hubbardiidae
Description: partial small subunit ribosomal RNA
Source: RNAcentral
UUGAAAUUAAUUUUUAUUCUAGGUUUUACAUGUUAAGCAGUGUAAAGCUAAAAAGUAUUGGCGGUAUUUAAUUUUUCCGAGAAUUUUGUUUAUUUAAAUUGAUAUUACACAUUUUAUCUUAUCUUGAUUUAUUGUUUAUAUAUUGCUGUUUAAUUUAUAAGUUGAUUGGGAAAAUAUGUAGAAUUUAAUUUAAUUUAGUAAAAUUCAAGUCAAAAUGUAGUGUAUUAAGAUAUAAAUGAAAUGCUUUUUUAUGAAGAAAGAAAUUAAUAGAAUAAAAUUUUUUAUUGAGAAGAGGAUUGGAUAGUAAAUAAAAAUUAGUGGGUUUUAUUGAUAUUUUUUAGAUAUGU